GUGCACCAGUCGAGAAUUUUUCACAAUGGGGGAAACCCUGAUGGAGCGACGCCGCGUGGAGGAUGAAGGCGUUUUCGUCGUAAACUCCUGUCAUGCGAGAACAAGAAAGUGAUAGUAUCGCAAGAGGAAGAGGCGGCUAACUCUGUGCCGGCAGCCGCGGUAAUACAGAGGCCUCAAGCGUUGUUCGGAUUCAUUGGGCGUAAAGGGUGCGUAGGUGGCAUGGUAAGUUGAAGGUGAAAUCUCGGAGCUCAACUCCGAAACUGCCUUCAAUACUGCUGUGCUCGAGGACUGUAGAGGAGAAUGGAAUUCACGGUGUAGCAGUGAAAUGCGUAGAUAUCGUGAGGAAGACCAGUGGCGAAGGCGAUUCUCUGGGCAGUUCCUGACACUGAGGCACGAAAGGCUAGGGGAGCAAACGGGAUUAGAUACCCGUGUAGU
Molecule: ribosomal RNA, 435 nt
Filed under: uncultured organism
Description: bacterial SSU rRNA
Rfam family: Bacterial small subunit ribosomal RNA
Source: RNAcentral